Molecule: ribosomal RNA, 1227 nt
Filed under: Hesperomyces virescens
Lineage: Eukaryota; Fungi; Ascomycota; Laboulbeniomycetes; Laboulbeniales; Laboulbeniaceae
Description: eukaryotic LSU rRNA
Rfam family: Eukaryotic large subunit ribosomal RNA (bases 282-1227)
Source: RNAcentral
AUCCAGAGAGUAUGCCUGUCCGAGCGUCAGUACAACUAUCAAACAUUGGGUUUGUGGUAAACACGAUCUCUAUGUUUGGAUUUUGGAGGUUUAUAUGUCUGGGGUUUAAGUCCUUUCGACUCCUCUGUAUAUCGUUUCAUGGUGAAAUACCUAAUCUCUGGUCAUGAGCGAAACUUUAUUUAUGACUUUUUGAGAUGGUAGAUAUAGCCAUUAUUACUCUUUGUGGUCAGCAAACGUUCCUCGUCUGAGGGUAGUUUGUCACUACAAAAGACCCUUUACUUUGACCUCGGAUCAGGUAGGAUUACCCGCUGGACUUAAGCAUAUCAAUAAGCGGAGGAAAAGAAACCAACAAGGAUUGCCUCAGUAUCGGCGAGUGAAGCGGCAAAAGCUUAAAUUUGAAAUCUGGCACUAGCCCGAGUUGUAAUUUGUAGAGGAUGUCUUCAGCAAAAGGCUUUGAGUCUAAGUUCCCUGGAACGGGAUAUCAUGGAGGGUGAGAAUCCCGUACAUGGUUCAUUGUCUCUUGCAUCACGAAGCUCCUUCAACGAGUCGAGUUGUUUGGGAAUGCAGCUCAAAACAGGAGGUAAAUUCCUUCCAAAGCUAAAUAUUAGCCAGAGACCGAUAGCGAACAAGUAGAGUGAUCGAAAGAUGAAAAGCACUUUGGAAAGAGGGUUAAAAAGUAUGUGAAAUUGUUGAAAGGGAAGCGCUUGCAACCAGACUUUUCACUGUAGGUUAGAUCAUCUAGGCUCUUUGGCCUAGUGUACUCUACCUAUAUUGUGUGCCAGCAUCGGUUUGUUGGUCGAGAGAAAAAGGUAAUGUGUUGUCAAUUCCUCCGGGUAUUUGGCAUGCAUCUACAGGUACAUCUUGAACCCAGACCGAGGACAGCGCAUUUAGCACGGAUGCUGGUGUAAUGGUUGUAAGCGGCCCGUCUUGAAACACGGACCAAGGAGUCCAACAUCCAUGCGAGUGUUUGGAUAUCAAGUCCGUACGCGCAAUGAAAGUGAACGCAAGUGGGAACUCAUUUAUGUGUGCACCAUUGACCGAUCUUGAUCUUUUGAAAUGGAUUUGAGUAAGAGCAUGGCUGUUGGGACCCGAAAGAUGGUGAACUAUGCCCGCGUAGGCUGAAGUCAGGGGAAACCCUGAUGGAAGGUCGCAGCGGUUCUGACGUGCAAAUCGAUCGUCAAACGUGGGUAUAGGGGCGAAAGACCAAUCGAACCAUCUAGUAGCUGG